This 2906-nucleotide ribosomal RNA is filed under the name Enterobacter hormaechei. RNAcentral's name for it is "23S ribosomal RNA". It matches the Rfam family "Bacterial large subunit ribosomal RNA". RNAcentral also lists the same sequence under 1 other name. The record is from RNAcentral. Lineage: Bacteria; Pseudomonadati; Pseudomonadota; Gammaproteobacteria; Enterobacterales; Enterobacteriaceae.
GGUUAAGCGACUAAGCGUACACGGUGGAUGCCCUGGCAGUCAGAGGCGAUGAAGGACGUGCUAAUCUGCGAAAAGCGCCGGCGAGGUGAUAUGAACCUUUGACCCGGCGAUGUCCGAAUGGGGAAACCCAGUGCAAUCCGUUGCACUAUCGUUAACUGAAUACAUAGGUUAACGAGGCGAACCGGGGGAACUGAAACAUCUAAGUACCCCGAGGAAAAGAAAUCAACCGAGAUUCCCCCAGUAGCGGCGAGCGAACGGGGAGCAGCCCGGAGUCUGAAUCAGCUUGUGUGUUAGUGGAACGGUCUGGAAAGUCCGACGGUACAGGGUGAUAGUCCCGUACACGAAAGCACACUUGCUGUGAACUCGAAGAGUAGGGCGGGACACGUGGUAUCCUGUCUGAAUAUGGGGGGACCAUCCUCCAAGGCUAAAUACUCCUGACUGACCGAUAGUGAACCAGUACCGUGAGGGAAAGGCGAAAAGAACCCCGGCGAGGGGAGUGAAAAAGAACCUGAAACCGUGUACGUACAAGCAGUGGGAGCCUCUUUAUGGGGUGACUGCGUACCUUUUGUAUAAUGGGUCAGCGACUUAUAUUCUGUAGCAAGGUUAACCGUAUAGGGGAGCCGAAGGGAAACCGAGUCUUAACUGGGCGUUAAGUUGCAGGGUAUAGACCCGAAACCCGGUGAUCUAGCCAUGGGCAGGUUGAAGGUUGGGUAACACUAACUGGAGGACCGAACCGACUAAUGUUGAAAAAUUAGCGGAUGACCUGUGGCUGGGGGUGAAAGGCCAAUCAAACCGGGAGAUAGCUGGUUCUCCCCGAAAGCUAUUUAGGUAGCGCCUCGUGAACUCAUCUUCGGGGGUAGAGCACUGUUUCGGCUAGGGGGCCAUCCCGGCUUACCAACCCGAUGCAAACUACGAAUACCGAAGAAUGUUAUCACGGGAGACACACGGCGGGUGCUAACGUCCGUCGUGAAGAGGGAAACAACCCAGACCGCCAGCUAAGGUCCCAAAGUCAUGGUUAAGUGGGAAACGAUGUGGGAAGGCACAGACAGCCAGGAUGUUGGCUUAGAAGCAGCCAUCAUUUAAAGAAAGCGUAAUAGCUCACUGGUCGAGUCGGCCUGCGCGGAAGAUGUAACGGGGCUAAACCAUGCACCGAAGCUGCGGCAGCGACGCUUAGGCGUUGUUGGGUAGGGGAGCGUUCUGUAAGCCGUUGAAGGUGUCCUGUGAGGGGUGCUGGAGGUAUCAGAAGUGCGAAUGCUGACAUAAGUAACGAUAAAGCGGGUGAAAAGCCCGCUCGCCGGAAGACCAAGGGUUCCUGUCCAACGUUAAUCGGGGCAGGGUGAGUCGACCCCUAAGGCGAGGCCGAAAGGCGUAGUCGAUGGGAAACAGGUUAAUAUUCCUGUACUUGGUGUUACUGCGAAGGGGGGACGGAGAAGGCUAUGUCAGCCGGGCGACGGUUGUCCCGGUUUAAGCAUGUAGGCGGAGGUUCCAGGUAAAUCCGGUACCUUGUUAACGCUGAGGUGUGAUGACGAGGCACUACGGUGCUGAAGUGAUAAAUGCCCUGCUUCCAGGAAAAGCCUCUAAGCAUCAGGUAACACGAAAUCGUACCCCAAACCGACACAGGUGGUCAGGUAGAGAAUACCAAGGCGCUUGAGAGAACUCGGGUGAAGGAACUAGGCAAAAUGGUGCCGUAACUUCGGGAGAAGGCACGCUGAUAUGUAGGUGAAGUCCCUGCGGACGGAGCUGAAAUCAGUCGAAGAUACCAGCUGGCUGCAACUGUUUAUUAAAAACACAGCACUGUGCAAACACGAAAGUGGACGUAUACGGUGUGACGCCUGCCCGGUGCCGGAAGGUUAAUUGAUGGGGUUAGCGGCAACGCGAAGCUCUUGAUCGAAGCCCCGGUAAACGGCGGCCGUAACUAUAACGGUCCUAAGGUAGCGAAAUUCCUUGUCGGGUAAGUUCCGACCUGCACGAAUGGCGUAAUGAUGGCCAGGCUGUCUCCACCCGAGACUCAGUGAAAUUGAACUCGCUGUGAAGAUGCAGUGUACCCGCGGCAAGACGGAAAGACCCCGUGAACCUUUACUAUAGCUUGACACUGAACACUGGUCCUUGAUGUGUAGGAUAGGUGGGAGGCUUUGAAGCGUGGACGCCAGUCUGCGUGGAGCCAACCUUGAAAUACCACCCUUUAAUGGCUGGUGUUCUAACGUAGACCCGUAAUCCGGGUUGCGGACAGUGUCUGGUGGGUAGUUUGACUGGGGCGGUCUCCUCCCAAAGAGUAACGGAGGAGCACGAAGGUUGGCUAAUCCUGGUCGGACAUCAGGAGGUUAGUGCAAUGGCAUAAGCCAGCUUGACUGCGAGCGUGACGGCGCGAGCAGGUGCGAAAGCAGGUCAUAGUGAUCCGGUGGUUCUGAAUGGAAGGGCCAUCGCUCAACGGAUAAAAGGUACUCCGGGGAUAACAGGCUGAUACCGCCCAAGAGUUCAUAUCGACGGCGGUGUUUGGCACCUCGAUGUCGGCUCAUCACAUCCUGGGGCUGAAGUAGGUCCCAAGGGUAUGGCUGUUCGCCAUUUAAAGUGGUACGCGAGCUGGGUUUAGAACGUCGUGAGACAGUUCGGUCCCUAUCUGCCGUGGGCGCUGGAGAAUUGAGGGGGGCUGCUCCUAGUACGAGAGGACCGGAGUGGACGCAUCACUGGUGUUCGGGUUGUCAUGCCAAUGGCACUGCCCGGUAGCUAAAUGCGGAAGAGAUAAGUGCUGAAAGCAUCUAAGCACGAAACUUGCCCCGAGAUGAGUUCUCCCUGAGACUUUAAGUCUCCUGAAGGAACGUUGAAGACGACGACGUUGAUAGGUCGGGUGUGUAAGCGCAGCGAUGCGUUGAGCUAACCGAUACUAAUGAACCGUGAGGCUUAACCUU